This 248-nucleotide ribosomal RNA is filed under the name uncultured bacterium. Its description in RNAcentral is "partial 16S ribosomal RNA". It matches the Rfam family "Bacterial small subunit ribosomal RNA", at positions 1237 to 1500 of the family's 1533-position model. The record is from RNAcentral.
GGUCAAUGCGAAGCGAAGCAGUGAUGUGAAGCAAAUCGCACCAAAGCCAGUCCCAGUUCGGAUAAGAGGCUGAAACUCGCCUCUUUGAAGUCGGAAUCGCUAGUAAUCGCAGAUCAGCAUGUUGCGGUGAAUACGUUCCCGGGCCUUGUACACACCGCCCGUCAAACCAUGAGAGUCACCAACACCCGAAGUCCGCCUUGGCGGCCUAAGGUGGGGAGAUGAUUGGGGUUAAGUCGUAACAAGGUAAC